GCCAGACUCCUACGGGAGGCAGCAGUGGGGGAUAUUGCACAAUGGGGGGAACCCUGAUGCAGCGACGCCGCGUGGGUGAAGGAGUAUUUCGGUAUGUAAAGCCCUAUCGGCAGGGAAGAAGCAAGACGGUACCUGACUAAGAAGCCCCGGCUAACUACGUGCCAGCAGCCGCGGUAAUACGUAGGGGGCGAGCGUUAUCCGGAUUUACUGGGUGUAAAGGGAGCGUAGACGGCGGCGCAAGUCCGGAGUAAAAGCCGACGGCCCAACCGUGGGACUGCUCUGGAAACUGUGCGGCUUGAGUGCGGGAGGGGCAGGCGGAAUUCCUAGUGUGGCGGUGAAAUGUGUAGAUAUUAGGAGGAACACCGGCGGCGAAGGCGGCCUGCUGAACCGUAACUGACGUUGAGGCUCGAAAGCGUGGGGAGCAAACAGGAUUAGAUACCCCUGUA
This 446-nucleotide ribosomal RNA is filed under the name uncultured bacterium. Its description in RNAcentral is "partial 16S ribosomal RNA". It matches the Rfam family "Bacterial small subunit ribosomal RNA", at positions 330 to 792 of the family's 1533-position model. The record is from RNAcentral.